AUCCGGGUUGCGGACAGUGUCUGGUGGGUAGUUUGACUGGGGCGGUCUCCUCCUAAAGAGUAACGGAGGAGCACGAAGGUUGGCUAAUCCUGGUCGGACAUCAGGAGGUUAGUGCAAUGGCAUAAGCCAGCUUGACUGCGAGCGUGACGGCGCGAGCAGGUGCGAAAGCAGGUCAUAGUGAUCCGGUGGUUCUGAAUGGAAGGGCCAUCGCUCAACGGAUAAAAGGUACUCCGGGGAUAACAGGCUGAUACCGCCCAAGAGUUCAUAUCGACGGCGGUGUUUGGCACCUCGAUGUCGGCUCAUCACAUCCUGGGGCUGAAGUAGGUCCCAAGGGUAUGGCUGUUCGCCAUUUAAAGUGGUACGCGAGCUGGGUUUAGAACGUCGUGAGACAGUUCGGUCCCUAUCUGCCGUGGGCGCUGGAGAACUGAGGGGGGCUGCUCCUAGUACGAGAGGACCGGAGUGGACGCAUCACUGGUGUUCGGGUUGUCAUGCCAAUGGCACUGCCCGGUAGCUAAAUGCGGAAGAGAUAAGUGCUGAAAGCAUCUAAGCACGAAACUUGCCCCGAGAUGAGUUCUCCCUGACUCCUUGAGAGUCCUGA
This 598-nucleotide ribosomal RNA is filed under the name Escherichia coli. Its description in RNAcentral is "partial 23S ribosomal RNA". It matches the Rfam family "Bacterial large subunit ribosomal RNA", at positions 2238 to 2831 of the family's 2925-position model. Lineage: Bacteria; Pseudomonadati; Pseudomonadota; Gammaproteobacteria; Enterobacterales; Enterobacteriaceae. The record is from RNAcentral.